UGAGUUUGAUCCUGGCUCACCUUUUUAACGCUGGCGGCGUGCCUAACAAAUGCAAGUCGAACGUUUCUUGGGGAAAAGAUUACUUCGGUUUGAAGUUUGUUGUUGGUUAUUGGCGGCCGGCUGAAUAACGCGUGGUUAACCUGCCGUAUGCAGGGGGAUAACAGUUAGAAAUGACUGGUGAUACCGCUUAAGCGCACAAUAUCUCAUGAACAAUUGAAGAAACCAUAGCGGCAUACGAUGGUCCCGCGUCUGAUUAUCUAGAUGGCGGGGAAGCGGCCCACCAAGGUGACGAUCAGCAACCGGCUUGAAAGUGUGAAACGCCACAUUGGAACUCAGACACUAGCCAUACUCCUUCUGGAU
Molecule: ribosomal RNA, 360 nt
Filed under: uncultured bacterium
Lineage: Bacteria
Description: bacterial SSU rRNA
Rfam family: Bacterial small subunit ribosomal RNA
Source: RNAcentral